UACGGGGGGUGCGAGCGUUGUCCGGAAUCACUGGGUUUAAAGGGUGCGUAGGUGGGUAGGUAAGUCAGUGGUGAAAUCUUCGAGCUUAACUCGGAAACUGCCAUUGAUACUAUUUAUCUUGAAUACUCUGGAGGUAAGCGGAAUAUGUCAUGUAGCGGUGAAAUGCUUAGAUAUGACAUAGAACACCAAUUGCGAAGGCAGCUUACUACAUAGUUAUUGACACUGAGGCACGAAAGCGUGGGGAUCAAACAGG
This 253-nucleotide ribosomal RNA is filed under the name uncultured bacterium. Its description in RNAcentral is "partial 16S ribosomal RNA". It matches the Rfam family "Bacterial small subunit ribosomal RNA", at positions 524 to 776 of the family's 1533-position model. The record is from RNAcentral.